CAGGCCUAACACAUGCAAGUCGAACGGUAACAGGAAGCAGCUUGCUGCUUCGCUGACGAGUGGCGGACGGGUGAGUAAUGUCUGGGAAACUGCCUGAUGGAGGGGGAUAACUACUGGAAACGGUAGCUAAUACCGCAUAACGUCGCAAGACCAAAGAGGGGGACCUUCGGGCCUCUUGCCAUCGGAUGUGCCCAGAUGGGAUUAGCUAGUAGGUGGGGUAACGGCUCACCUAGGCGACGAUCCCUAGCUGGUCUGAGAGGAUGACCAGCCACACUGGAACUGAGACACGGUCCAGACUCCUACGGGAGGCAGCAGUGGGGAAUAUUGCACAAUGGGCGCAAGCCUGAUGCAGCCAUGCCGCGUGUAUGAAGAAGGCCUUCGGGUUGUAAAGUACUCUCAGCGGGGAGGAAGGUGUUGAGGUUAAUAACCUCAGCAAUUGACGUUACCCGCAGAAGAAGCACCGUAUAACUCCGUGCCAGCAGCCGCGGUAAU
Molecule: ribosomal RNA, 492 nt
Filed under: uncultured bacterium
Lineage: Bacteria
Description: bacterial SSU rRNA
Rfam family: Bacterial small subunit ribosomal RNA
Source: RNAcentral